Molecule: ribosomal RNA, 254 nt
Filed under: uncultured bacterium
Lineage: Bacteria
Description: partial 16S ribosomal RNA
Rfam family: Bacterial small subunit ribosomal RNA
Source: RNAcentral
GACGAACCGUGCGAACGUUAUUCGGAAUCACUGGGCUUAAAGCGCGUGUAGGCGGGCCGGCACGUCGGAUGCUGAAAGCCCCCGGCUCAACCGGGGAACUGGCGGCGAUACGACCGGCCUGGAGGGGUGUAGGGGGACCUGGAACUUCCGGUGGAGCGGUGAAAUGCGUUGAGAUCGGAAGGAACGCCCGUGGCGAAAGCGAGGUCCUGGACACCAACUGACGCUGAGACGCGAAAGCCAGGGGAGCGAACGGG